UCAGCAAGUGCUUGCAGAAACAGUUGUUG
RNAcentral lists this non-coding RNA (29 nucleotides) under Homo sapiens (human). The record is from RNAcentral. Lineage: Eukaryota; Metazoa; Chordata; Mammalia; Primates; Hominidae.